UACGGGAUUAGGUCCUCCUCCAGUAUUCAUUAAGAUUUGGUAUUCAUCAUCUAUACUUUCUAAGUUUAAAUGAUCAAAAUUAUCUAUAAGUAGAUCUAAUUCUUCAUUCAUUUUCUUUGUCUUGAUUUUCUUCAAUUUUUUGUUUACCUAACAUUUUUUCUCUAGAUUCCUCUUCUUCUAUUAUUUUAGGUAAUAUAUUUUU
RNAcentral lists this long non-coding RNA (202 nucleotides) under Olea europaea (common olive). RNAcentral's name for it is "long non-coding RNA (OEUR_LNC005567)". Lineage: Eukaryota; Viridiplantae; Streptophyta; Magnoliopsida; Lamiales; Oleaceae. The record is from RNAcentral.